GCUUUAGAAAAUUUCGUAAAGUCUUAAAGCCGAACAGGAAACAGUGGGGCCGGCGAAUAGCGGGGGCGGAUGUGGUCCGGGUUUCGAGAAAUGUGCGAGAUUGCGUAAGGCGGAAGCGGCGCAUUUAAUGCGCGCCAGACCGUAGUAUACGUAUGUCAAGAAAUACGCGGGCGGCUAUUGUAUAGGAGGGGCAUUUUGGUCAGGCGGCGGAAAAAGCGGACCGAAUCUGCAAAAACGAAAAAGGUGGCCCGGUUUUGCAAAAGCCCAAAAUAAGU
Molecule: long non-coding RNA, 275 nt
Filed under: Ananas comosus (pineapple)
Lineage: Eukaryota; Viridiplantae; Streptophyta; Magnoliopsida; Poales; Bromeliaceae
Description: long non-coding RNA (ACOM_LNC033062)
Source: RNAcentral